This is a long non-coding RNA of Trachymyrmex cornetzi, 4763 nucleotides long. RefSeq lists it as uncharacterized. The record is from RefSeq and is a predicted model, not a curated record. The transcript is spliced from 2 exons. NCBI's taxonomy places the organism in Eukaryota, Metazoa, Arthropoda, Insecta, Hymenoptera, Formicidae.
AUUAGCAUAUGUAAAAAAAAUUUGAUUUAAUUCGUAAUGCUUCCUUAUCGCAGUUAAGUAACGUGAUUUUACAUAAGCAUUAAGACAAACAAAGGAUAUGUGUCACAACUUUUGAGUUGAGAUACAUACAUCCUUAAAAAUUGAAGAUGCAAAUAUAUGUAGCAUUAAACACUGAAGUUAAAAAAUUUCUGACCAUCAACAAGGCUAUAAUAUUAUAUCAGAAGAUCUUUAUUCGUAAGACACUUGUUAGUAAAAAAAUUUGUUUAAUGACAAUGGCGCUUCUAGAGGGUUAAUAUUUUACUGGAUUGGUUUCAAUAAUUUCAUCAUCAAAUUCAACUUGAUUGCUAUUUCAAAAUCCCCCAAAAAUAUUAAAUUUAUGAUUGAUUUAAAAAAAUCGAAAUGUUGACAAAUUCUAUAAUAUAUUGAUUUUAUAAAUGGACUUGUAAAGUUUAUCCUUUUUGUAUGUAAAUGUCAACUUAUUUUCUUUUUAAUGAUACGCACUUGAGUCAUUGUGCAUCGAGACAAGUUUCGCACCGCGUUCUGUCAGUAAGCCUCGCAAACGAUCCAAAGUCUAUCUUACGACAUCUUGUUUUUUUCGCGUCGACGUGCAGGUGCCCUUCGUUUCCGUCGCCCCACGUCAUUCAACAAAAGCAUAAACAUAAAAAAAUAAAAGUUAUUUAUUCUAAUUUUUCUAAUCGUUCGCGCAUGAUUGGCUUCAAGUAGCACGAACGAUUUUUCACACCUCGCGGCAGCGAAAAUCAGAUCGGAAAUCCGUCGGUCGUGUUCUUCAUGUCGCAAUCCGAAAGUAACAUCUCGCACGCGAGAGGAAAUCCCAGACGAGAAAGGGAAAAAGAGACUCUUUCUCUGUGGGAUCGCGAAAGUUUCGACAGUCCGCGGUCGCACCUCGUUGACAGUUCAGGCAGCUGGACGUAGGACGACGACGACGACGACGACGAGGAUGACGACGACGACGACGAACGAUCGCAUUAGUCGCCCGAGGGGACCGAAAUUCUGCGUUCUCCAAUGCGAGAAGACUAUAUAGUCAGAAGUAUGGCGAGGUCGGGCCCCGCGGCCCUUUUUUCUGCCACAAUGGCGUCGAAUCUGUGGGACCGUGCGUUAAUUCUUUUCUUCUCCUUUCUUUUCGAUCGCGUGUGUUAUUAACAGAUCGUUCGUAGCUCUGAAUAAUUUAGGGAGUGCACGGUAAUAUGUCUGACACCACGGAGAAAUUACGGAUCUUGGAAUCGUUUCUUUUUUUUUUUUAGCGAGAGCAUGAAACUCUUCGAGUUCUCGACGCGGACGUAAGUGAGAGAGAGGUGCGAGUUUCGACGUUAUUGCGAAUGAAAAAUGAUGGAGAGGAGAUACGUCUCGUGAUUAAAUAUCUCGGGCGAGAGAUAUGCGAUCGUUUCUCAUUCAAUAGCGAUCAAUCACGCGUUUCUGUCAUGACGCGCAAUUAUACGUCCGAUCUCAGUUGCACCCUGAGUACGGGACAGAUAGGAAAAAAAAAAAAGAGAGAGAGACCUACCAUUUAACAGCUAAUCGCGUUAUCUUUAAGAAAACUACUGUUGAUUCGAUAUCGAUGUCGUAUCUUUCUACAUCUAAAUUGCGAUCUCUAGAAUUAAUGAGUGUGACGUAAUAAUGUUCGAUAGUCAGUGUUAUUAGCGUAUACCUAAUAGCGCUAUGAUUAAUUGCAAACUGCCCUCGCGUAAAUCGUCGUGUUAGCCUUUUUCCUUUUUUUUUUUUCGCAACAUAGGUCAGUGAUAGGCUGAGUGAAAAGAGAACUCAUAAUUAAUUUAUGAAGAUCAUUAAUUGAACGUAUAAUUAAUAUCCUUAAAUCUUUCAUUGUACGUAGAGAUCUUCUGUACUUUAAUUCUAGAUGAAGAGCGCUUACUGGCAAGUAUUAAGGGCGAUGUUUGUUGUCUGAAACUAAACACGGAUACACAACCGUUCGCGGCGUCGAUCAAUUAAUUAAGCAGCGACACACGACGCGUUACUCAAGGGCGCCUGAUUAAUCGGGCAGUCUCGAACAGCGCAGCUACACCUCGUACAUGAUCUUAAGGGUUAAAGUACAUUUACGCUAACAAUUAAUAGGUAAUGAUUAAAGUUAGGCGGCGAAGUCGACUCCUCGCGAUAAUCGACUUAUUCAAGAGUAAUUACGAAUUCAUAAAACAGUGUCCGGUGUCGAUGCCGAAUACCGACAUCGAUCGCGUCGAAAUAACAUAGUUAUUUCGUAUCAAGGGGUAUCAUAUUUCAUUUUAAAUCUAUUCAUAUAAUUUUUGCAUCUUGCUUUACAUUCAUUUGAAGUCGUACGUGUGCGGCUGCGGCUGAGUAUAGAUUCUUCAAUUGAGUUCCAACGGGAGUUCGUCAGCGAAACGUAUACGUUAUUCGAUUCCGGGGUACACCGAAUCAAUUUUCCGGAAACCUUAAUUCGUCCGUAACAUCGCGAUUCGUUACACCGGAUUUCUCUCUCGCGGUACAUCACAUCGCGGAUUAGCCUCGACACGAUCGGUCGGUGGUGACGUAACGGCACUUUGUAUGCAAACCGCGUUCUCUCCUGGACUUUUUCAGCGCGAUGCCGUUUCAGAGAAAUAAAGAAAAAAAAAACGCGAGGAAAAAUUUGCAGAGGCGAGAGAGCACGGAGAAACGAGAAUAAUACAGAAUCCCAAGAACCGUCGACGAAACCGUUUAAUGUAUAUCUCUGGUGUAUAUAUAACGUAUACUAUGUGUCAUGCAUUCCUAGAUGUACUUUUCUCGUACGAGCGAAUACUUGUUCAGCUUCGCUAAACGACCGACGAAGGAGGAACGCCGCGAGAGCGAAACGUCCACGAGUGCAAACGUUCCCGGUUGGACAGACGAGACCUGCUACACGAAUAUUUUUCACGAGGAGCUAUCGAUUGCGGUCAGUUUUAUAGUUGCUCACGGCGGAUGAGCGCGUACGAGCGGCUACGAGCAAUGUUAGCCGGGGGGCAACCGGAAGUGGGCCGGAAACCAUCAAAGGGAACGACGAUAGAACACGAUUGCGCGAUUAGAAAGCCGGUUUCAUAUGCAUACGGUGCGGCGGACUAGUUAAAAAUUCGAUCGAUAAACCGCCUCUAACUUAACUCCCGUAUGCUGAAUAAUUAAAUCGCGAUGGAGGCCCUUCCCCGAUAGCAUUCUCGCAACGCUAGAGCGAACGAGGGUAACGUAGUUGUUAAGAAACGGAGCUACUUUUCGUGAUUUCCCAAGAUAGAGAGAAACGUGCGCCGAAUCCACAUGGAUAAACCGAUAAAACUUUUCGUCCUGAAAAAAGUCCUGUUUACUUUGUACAAUGCAUGUUUCCGUUAAAGGAAGAACUGUUAGCUCCUCGAAGUGCCCGCGGUUCAACUGUAACGAGACACGAAAGCGCGCGUGUAUCGUUUUUAUUCAUUAAAUCACAAGCGACUUCUUUCUGUGAAAAUUGCUUUCGUUUGUUCUGCACUGUACCGCUAUUUUCUGAAAAUUGUAUACUCGCAACAUGUCGACGUCUUCCCAAUACGGGAAAAUUCAGCCGGGAACGUUUCACUCGUUCGACCGCUGUACUCCAGCCUGAUUAUCCUCUUUCUGAUUGUGAGAGAUACACGCGACUCACUUCUCUGUAUUUUCAUCCGAGCCUGAUAACAGCACAACGACAUACCUCUCCUCUUUACUCGUAAAGCUCUUUGUAUGUAGCGUAUUCUAACUCGUGGAAGAAAGUGAAAUUUUCGAAAUCGCGAUCGAAUAAUGUGUGCGCGAGGUGUAUCCCUUCGACAUUUCGCUCUUCCAAUCGUGCUCUUACGAAAAUCGUAAUCUACACCAUUACGAAGCGAUCUAAAAAAGUAGAUCUCUUAAUCAGAUCCAAGUCAAUUCAGACAUUACUUGUACCUGAACGAAUUUUGAACUCGAAAAAGAGUUCAACUAAAUCGAAAAAAAAAAAACAAAAAACGGAAUCAACGAGAAAUUAUAUAAUCAUAGAUCAAAAGUGAAAAAAAUUGUAAAAAUCAAAAGUCUUGUGAAAUUGCGAGAUGUAUUCCUAAGUUUUGUAAUCUGAGUAUCGAAUGUUAUACUGCUGAAUUUUGCGACGCAGUUUAUAAACUCUGUACAUCAUUUGAAAUUAUUACUUCUCACUUGGAAAGGAAAAUUCUCUCGUGAUUUCUAAACUAAAGGCAAGCACUAGCUACACCGUUCCAUUUAUUUCGAAAGGAUACACCUACGGUCAGGAUGAGACGGAGCAACAAUACGACCGCAACCGCGAGAGAUUCGCAUAUCAAGUUGCAAAAAAGGCGAACAAUCGCGCCGUACGGGCGCGCACGAGCAUAGAGACGGGAAGACGAGACGGAGGGACAGAAAAGAUUUGGCCUAAUCUACGUCUCUAUCGAUAUAUAUGUUAUCUACUGUUUAAUCCACGUCGCUGCGAUAUAUAUAUAUAUAUGUAUAUAUACGCAUUGUGCGGUAUACGAUGCCCGGCGGGAAAGAAAGCGCGAGGCGUCUGUAUUAAAAUCCCCGAGCCCAUCAUAUCCACCGCCAUGCAGAUAUACCGCAUAAUGCGUUAACAACGUUCACCUGACAUCUGACAUCGCGCACACACUCGUCCGCACACGCACACGUAUACACGCACGGACACACGUGGCUCUCGAUGCACUCCGGCGAUGAUCACACAGCGUAUUGCGACACAAAACGUAUACAAACAGACGCGAAAGCACUCGCAAUACGAACGCAAUCCGACGAGCGUGAGCGCGACACUCGCGCACCUUUUCUCGUCAUCCUAUCAU